Molecule: RNA transcript, 7299 nt
Organism: Hippoglossus stenolepis (Pacific halibut)
Lineage: Eukaryota; Metazoa; Chordata; Actinopteri; Pleuronectiformes; Pleuronectidae
Gene: nup214
Gene name: nucleoporin 214
Exons: 37
Source: RefSeq, a predicted model, not a curated record
UCCUGCGCAACUCUGACGUUGUUUUCUUACCAAAAAACGCGCCGCGGCGUGUGUGUUUGUACACUUUCCGAGUUUCAGCCCAAUGUGGCUUCACAAGAAUCUGCCUCACAUCCACACCAGGAGACAAACGCAGUGAAACGGCAGGUUCCCCGUAAAGCAGCGGCCGCUCUCCGUCAGAAUGAGCGACGACACGGACUCUCCCCCCGAGAGGGAAAUGAAGGAUUUUCAGUUUCGGCAGAUGAAGAAAGCAAGAGUUUUUGCACCUGCUGGGGAUUUGCCUGAAGAAAGAUCCACUCUGCUCACCCUCUCAAAUAAAUAUGGCUUAUGUUUCGUUGGGCUCAACAGAACAUUCAAAGUUUACCUGACACAUGAUAUACUGGCUGCUGAUAGAGUUGAUGGCAACGCCAAUGAAAUAGUCAAUGGAAUACCAGUGUUGGCAGAGGUGACGGUGGAACUGGCUGUGCACCACUUGGCUCUCAGUUGUGAUGAACUUACAUUGUCAGUAUGUGGUGUGUCUGAGGAGGGGGGUUUAUUCCUCACUUUCUACGAUGUCCGCACCUUCAUUAACAAGGCGAGACAACAGAAGUUACCUUUUGCAUCACUGCAGGCAGCCGUACCCUCUGGCACUGUGGUGCAGGACCUGAAGUGGAAUCCCGCUCAGGUGUCCACUUUGGCUGCCUGUCUGUCUGACGGCAGCAUGAUGAUUUUGGAUGUUACAGACAAUGUCAAAGUGCAGGCACAGCUACCACCAUCGAGUGGCAUCACAUGCCUUUGCUGGAGUCCAAAAGGAAAACAAGUCGCUGCAGGAAAGAUGAAUGCCACAGUCAGUCAGUACACACCAGCACUAGAGGAAAAGAAAGUGAUCCCAUGUCCACACUUCUACAGUUCUUCCCCUGAUGAACCUGUCAAAGCUCUGGAUGUGCUGUGGCUGAAAACCUUUGUGUUUGCAGUGGUAUACGCUGCUGCAGAUGGAUCCCUUGAGACCCCUCCCGAGCUCGUGUUGAUCUCCCUCCCUAAAAAGGAUGAGAAGGUGGAGACGAAGUAUCUGAACUUUAGUGACACGGUGUACGGCAGCUGCACUGAACGGCUGCACCACUACUUCCUGAGCCAUGUAGAGGACUGGGACCUUGUGUUUGCAGCAUCAGCAGCUUCCAUUGAGGUCAGCGUCAUAUCCAGACAAGAUGACAAGAUAUGGGAACUUUGGAUCCUGGAAGAUGCAAGUCGGGCUGAGCUUCCAGUGACUGCGACAAAUGAAGACACUCUACCGCUCGGCUUCGCCAUAGACUACACCAGCCAGCAAGAGAUCUACAUCUCUGAUGAGAAGACCUUACCUCCAGCGCCCACGAUGCUAAUUCUAUCCACAGAGGGUUUACUCUGCCCGUUUGCUCUGCUCAACCUCAAUCCUGGUGUGAAGCAGCUGGUCUCAGUCCCCAGCCUGAUCCCCCUGGAGGGGGAGAGACUGCCCAAGCUAGGUUCUUUGGCAGCCCAACCACCAAAAGCUGCUGCCUCCUUCCCAUCUGCCCCAGCCGUGUUCCAAAACCUCGGCCUAACAUCAGCAGCUGCUCCCACUCCUGCAGCUCCCGUUGCCUCUUCCGCCGCUGCUCGGUUCGGCUUUGCUACGACAGCUCCUGUGACAACGUCCUCAUCGGCCUUCUCUUUCUCUGUCCCAUCUACCAGCUCCCCCUCAGCCCCUACAGCUUUCUCCCUGGGGGUAUCCACGCCUUUUGGCUCAGGAUCCUCAGGCUUUUCCUUUGCCUCCAAACCUCCCUCUGAUACUCCCUCAGCACCUUCUGCAUUUUCCAUCAGCACGCCUUCCAUCAAACCGUCAGCGGUAGCAGCCCCAGCUCCAGCUCCAGCACCUCACAGCCUUGCUGCUGCCUCCCCACCCACAGUGAAAAUGAAUCUGAAUGAGAGGUUUUCAGCACUGGAGACCCCAGCACAAGCCCCACAGUCUUUCCCCUUCACUUCUCCAAUACCCAAACCAGUUGUCUCCAAUUCCAGUAGUUUGACCGCCCCUCCGCUUGCAGUUGCUAAGCCACCAGCUGUACUAACCCCAGUGCGUCCAGUUCAAACCAGCAUGCCGCCCACCAUUGUCCAGAAACCGACUCCUGCAGCCCAGAGCCGAAUCCAAGCUCCACAGACCCCUGUGGCACCUGUGAAGGCCGUGGAGAAGCAGCCACAGCAAAAGAAAGAGUCGGAUCACAUCAUGGCCGGUAUAUUUGAAGAGAUCGCACACUUCCAGCAGGAGUUGGAUGACCUUAAGGCAAGAAGCGCAAGAGCUGAUUUCAAGGUUGGCACCAACGAGGAGAUGAAGGAGUUGAGGAAGGAGUCAGAGGACCUACAUAUUUUCACGCUGGAGAUCAAGGAAACUACAGAGUCUCUCAAUGGCGAUAUUGGGACCCUGAAGACCACCUUAUUGGAAGGCUUUGCUGGGGCAGAAGAAGCCAGCACCCAGAGUGAGCUGAGCAAAGACAACAAUAACAGACAGCUGCUUUACAAAAAACCUCUGGACCCACGCAGUGAGGAACGACUCAAGGAGAUUCGCAGACUGUACCAGUACGUUACAUUUGCUGUGGAAGACGUCAACGAUGUGUUGAAUGUGGAAUGGGAGAAACAUCUGGAGAAGAAGAAAAAGCUGAAACACAUGUCCGUGCCAGGGCGUGAGGGUCUUUUCACAACACUGGCCAACAACCUGUACAUCAUCGAGCAGCAAAAGCACAGGUUGGACCAAUUGGUUAAAGACCUCAGCUCACUGAUGCUCUACAACAAGACGACUACAGCAACUGCAAACCAAAAUACUGCUGCAGCAACAACUGCUGGUUUGGAAAGUGAGCUCGAGAGUUUAAGGGAUGCACUCCUGAAAGCCAGACUGGACACUUCCCCUCCCAAAACCAAAUCCAGAUCUCCAGUCAAGAUCUCACCAGUGAAACAGUCCCAGCUACGCAACUUCCUGUCAAAGGGGCAGAUGCCUCCUGUCCGCUCAACUGCACCAGCCAACCUGUCUCGAUCCGCCUUCCUUUCACCUAAAUACUAUGAGGACUUGGAUGAUGUGAGCUCUACCUCCACCCUGUCCCAGUCCCUGGACCCCCACCCGGCUCACUUAGAGCUGGAGGAGGAGGAACUACAGCCAGAGCCCCUCCUUGUUAUACCCCAAGCACAUGCCACCCCUCGUCACCCCACUGUCGUGAGGACCCCCUCUAUCCAGCCUGGCUUUGGAGCAAUCCAGUCUACGCCUUUAACCAAACUUCACCAAGUACAGGCUAUGGGCUUUGGACUCAGCCCUAUCGCCAGCCCUGUUCCAAGCAAUAAGAUCAACCUCAGCGGGCCUGAUAGCACGGCUCUUGCCACAAAGACGGUCAAACAUGGAGCCCCACCAGCUGAGAGGACCGUACCUGUCACCAACCCCGCCCAGCAGGCCGCAGCCACUGCUGCUCUACGCAGGCAGAUGGCCAAUCAGAAGACGGCUGUUGUCGGUGCUUCCUUGACAGAGUCCACUUUGAAGAUAGUCCCUCAGGUCGUCAAUGUUCAAGAGCUCAAGGAGAAAGGGCCUCCUGUGCCAGCUUCCAAUAUCAUCAGCUCACCAGUUCCAGAUCCAGCAGCUCAAGUCUUUGCAACAGUUUCUUCCAACCAGGCUAAACGAAAUCCUAACCAAGGCAUCCAGACGAUGUCCGCUGAAAGUACAACCACCCCACAGACAGGCUUUGUGUUCGGUCAUCCAGCCAAACCUGAUGUUUCCGCGGCUCCUGCAAGCUCAGCGGAUCAAAACACCAGCAAAGGUUUCUCCUUUGCUUCAGGGUCCACAGGCUUCGGUUUUGCUUCAGCUACACAGGGAGCUGGAAUAUCACAAGCAAAGGAUGUGAGUAAAUUUUCCUUUGGUGGAAAUGGCAAAAUGGGAUUCGGCCAGGCUGGAGACGAGGGAUUCUCCUUCAUCCCAAAGUCCACCUCCCCUGCUCUACGCACGGCCUCCCCCACCCUGCCUCCGAACCCACCAGGAGAAGCAGCCAAACCCACCUCUACUGCAACAGCCCUCAAGGUAGAGCCACAGCCGCCUAAGACAGUUGGAGGUGAGACACUGGGCAGUUUCUCCGGACUUCGUGUGGGCCAAGGAGAAGAAGCCAAAGAUGCCUCCACCAAACCUUCUCCUGCCUCCGUUACCUUCGGGGACAGUGGACUUGGGAUGGGCAAGGGAGCAGCACAGUUUAGCUUUGGCACAGGUGGGCAAAAGUCUGCAGAAGAUUCCCCAGGAUCAGACUUGGCGAAGGGAGCAGCGUCAGGCAGUUUGUUUAAGCCUCCUGAAUCAACUAGUAAGCCAGCCUUCUCUGUUCCCCAGUCAGGCUCAGCUACCACAGGUUUACCUACGUCUUUCAGUAGUCUCCUUGCAGAAUCUUCAGACUCCUCAGAGGAACCAAAAGCUCCCACACAACCUUCAGAAGCCACCCCACCCCCUGAAAAAGAAGCAGCUUCUGAACCCAUUGUAGAGAGAGCCAGUGCCCCAGAAGUACCCGACUCUGCAGGGGAGGCUGCUACCAUAGACACCACACCAGCACCUGCAGCACUAACACCCCCACCUUCUUUGGCCACAACUGCCCCGACCCCAGAACCUCCCCCCUCCAUCGCUGCCCCAGCUGAAGCCGCCCCUCCACCACCAUACAGUGCUGUUCACACAAUCGAAGCACCCGCAGACACCACCACCACUGCUCCUGUGUCCACUUCACCAGCUGCCACCUUCUCUGUUGUGCCUGUCUCCCAGGUUGCACCAGCAGCAUUUCAGGUUCCCUCUUCUGACAAGCCUGGCUCCAUUUUUACUCAGCCUGCUCCUGUAACAACAGACAGCCACACCAUUGGAAUCACAACAGUAAUCAACACAGUUGCCAAUGCAGCCACCACUACCACCCAUACAGUUGUGAGCACUGCAACAACUACUGCUGCCACUGUAUUUGGGCAACCUGUUGCACCUCCAGUUUCCUCAGCCCCCUCGGCUCCAGCCAUUACAGGAUUUGGUUCAUCUGGGUUUGGUGCAUCACCUGGAGCUAAUUUUGGCAACACUGUAUUUGGCCAGGUGAGUGGCUUUGGCCAGCCUGCCAGUAACACUGGAACAGCUAGUGACUUUUCUUUUGGCCAGACAGUCUUUGGAGUAAGCUCUACCAGUGCAACCACUGGAGGAGGAGGAGGAGGAAGUCUUUUUGGUGCUUCUACUACAAGUACCUUCCCGUUUGGCCAAGGCAGUGCCAACACAGCCAGCAGCACCGGCUCUGGACCGUUUGGGCAGAGCACAGCCCCAGCAUUUGGCCAGAGCUCGGGAUUUGGGCAAGGGUCUGUGUUUGGUAGUAACACCACCACGUCAUCGUCGACAGGAUUCAGCUUUGGACAGCCCUCAGGUUUCGGUUGCUCCUCUGCCGCUCCCUCGUUUGGCCAGCCACCGAGCACUGGCAGUGUGUUUGGACAGCAGCAGCAGCAAUCAUCUAGUGGGAGUGUGUUUGGUUCAGGUUCAGCCAACCCUGCAGGCUCAUCAGCUGGUGGAGGAUUCUUCAGUGGCCUGGGAGGCAAACCCACCGAGGAGGCUGCCAACAAGAACCCAUUUGGCGCCCCUCCCGCCACCGGAGGAUUUGGCCAGCCUGCUCAGACAGGUGCCAACACUCUGUUUGGGAGUAGUGGUGCCAAGACCUUUGGUUUUGGACAGACCUCCUUUGGUGAGCAGAAACCCAGUGGGACCUUCAGCACUGGAGGAGGGAGUGUUGCAUCCCAGGGUUUUGGCUCCUUCGCUUCUCCGACAAAACCAGGUGGAUUUGGCAGCGCUCCAGUGUUUGGGAGUUCUCCUUCCUUCGGUAGUUCUCCAGCAUUUGGAGGUGCGGCGUCAUUCGGCUCCAACCCUUCAUUCAACAACAACAUGGUUCCCUCCGCUGGUAAAGUGUUUGGAGAGGGAACUGCGGCCUCCAGCAUGGGAGGAUUUGGGUUUGCCUCACCUCCCCCCGCCCCGUCCUUUGGCGCUCUAGCUAAUCAGAACCCUCCGUCAUUCGGGAACUUGGCCCAGCAGGGCUCUGGGUUUGGAGCUCAGCCCAGCAGCUUCUCAGGGUUUGGACAGCAGCCACAGACAGGAGAACAAGAAAUGAUGUGAGAAAUGUCAAACAACAUAAAAUAGUCAGACAAGCAAUGGAUUCUCUGGAAACACCUUUGGCUCUUCAAACCAGUCGAACGAACCCAACAUGCCUGGUGAGGAAAUCUCCCGAAGUGACACAUAUAGAGAUGAAAAGUAGAAGAUGUGCUAAAAAAGGAAAUGUGACUUGUGUCUACCAGGCAGCAACGGAAAUCUUUGUUGGAUUCAGUUUGGAUAAACAACUCAGACCCGUAAAGUGGGCUGCCAAUAAAAAGCAGUCCAAUGUGGAUGUUUAGGGGCUGAUACCGAUAUUGGGGAGUAAAAAAUGUUCUAUACCAAUGUAUUAGCCGACAUUUAGGUAAAAAAGUAAUUGUAAUGAUUCCUAAGAUGUCGUUUUUAAACCCUUAUGACAAAUGUAUGAAGUUUUACAGUUUAACCAUAAACUAUAUCAUUAACAACUGUAAAUAAAAAUAGAACUUGAAUUAAUGAGUAAUUCUUAAACUAAUAAAUGCACAUCUUUUCUGCAUUGUUUAUAAUUGAAAUCAACAGUUUACAUAUCAGCAAACAUAAAAGCCAGUAUUGAUAUGUCUGUGAAAAGCUCAUAUCGAGUGAUAUUUAUAGCCGACUAAUAAAUCUGUCUGGAGCUAAUGGAAAUAUUGCAUUUAUAAAUUGGAAAACAGUAUAUUGUCAAUAAUAGUUUUCCUAAUGGGAAACAAGACCUUAAUCUGGUAAUAGUGUGACAAAUAACUGUACCUCCAUUAAGGUGAAUCUGCAAAUUUUAGCUAAAAAGAAAAGGAGAGACGACAGGUGACAUUUGUACAUUUUAUUCAUUCUUGAAAAAAGACUUUUUAAUAUAUUUUUUCAGGGGUUGUUCACCCCAAUGUUGUGCAUUUUCACAGUUUUUAAAUAUUUGCCAGAACUGACCCAUUUUCAAGUAUUGGUGUAAAAAGUCAAAGCUGAACAAACAAACACACACUGCUUGAACUAUUUCAGUGCUGUUACUUCCAGAAAGCAAACCAAACUAAAUGAAAAAACAAACAUAUUUGCUCGUAGUAUCCUAUGUACCAUCUCUCAGGUUGUAUUUCAAACACUGAAUUAUGUUGUUUAUUUUCCUAAAUAAGGAGAAUAGUGAGAUGAACUGACCUGUGGAACAUCCAUUUUUUUCCUUAAUGGGAUUGAACCAAUAAUAAAAACCAGGAAAUGAA